UGACUACUUGCACCAAAAGAAGUAAUUUUCAAAUAAAUAAAGAUCAUGAAGGAACACGGGACGACUUUUUUUCUGUCUCACGGAACUUAGCUGCUUAAGGUUCCCAUUGCACUGAACUGAAUGGUGCUGUACAGUUUUUUCUCGUUAAUGCCAUCAUCAAUACUCAGAUCACUUUCUUAAGAAGAAUUAUUCACACUGCUGCCACCUAAAUUAAUGCAGCAUUUCCAGAAUACAUUUGACUGGUAUAUAUGUAAUCAGAAAUAAACAUUUUUGGACUUCUACCCUGGAUCUAUGAGAACCAGAGUAAUAUUAAAAAUGACAUGGUGAUUUAUUCAUGUUUCUUGAUUAACUUUUUACCAUCAAAUUUGUGACAGCUAAAAACUCUUUCAGUUUUGAUGAUGAUUAAUCCAUAUGAUGUGGCAGAUAUCCAAUAAGUAUGAUACUGUGAGUUUUUCUUGAUUUUCCUGUAUCUACAAAAUUGUGUUUAUUCACUUUUCCUGUAUUAUGUGUCAAUGUCUUCCAAAUUUUUAUUUUCUCUCAUGUCCUUAUUCUUUCCAGAAAUAAUUCUUGUGAAGCAGCAUCCUCAUAUAAUUCAUUGACAUUACAGUUCUUGAUAGAGUUGUGUUUCUUGUCACAUCUCUUAUUACUUAAAUCCUAUAUUAAUUUCUUUGUAAGACUCUGGACAGAAACAGAAGUGUGACAUUUGACAGCAAAGACCAUAGUCUUAUGUAAUAGUAGACAACAGUAGUAGUCUGUUCAGCACAAUCAUUAAUUGUUCAGGUAUUCAUUCUAUUCAAACAUAUGAUUUUUUUUUUUUUUUUGAAAAAAAAAGUGAUUGAUCAUAGCCAUUGAUAAAAACCUUAUACGGAUCCUUAUAUUAAAAAUUCCCCUGUGAGUUGGUCAGAUUUCUGCUCCAGAAGUCUGCAAGGGAAAAUGUAAGAUAUCUUGGACUCUUUUUUAUUAUUAUUAUUUAGCUAUAUUGUUAUGUACAUGCAUUACAUUACACACUUGUUUGGAAAUAUUUAGCUAGUAAACAAUGUCCAUACCAGAUUCUGGGUAUACUAAACAAUAAGAGUUGUUUAGUGUAAGAACUGGGGGCCCAAAGCCUGGACACAGAACUCUAGAUGGGACCCUCACUAAGGCAGAGUAGAGGGGUAUGGUUACCUCCCUUACCUUACUGGUCACUCCUCUUUUGACACAGUCCACAGUAUGGUUAGCCUUCUGGCCUACAAGCACACACUGUUGGCUCAUAUACAGAACCUCCAAGUAUUUCUCAGAGGACUGCUCACACCGAGUUCUCCCUAUCUAUUUAGAUGUCUGGGAUUGCCUUGACCCAGAUGUUGUACCUUGCAAUUGGCUUUGUUGAAGCUCAUUAGACUCACAUGGGCGUUCUCAAGCUUGUCCAGGUCUCUGUCUCCCUUUCUACACUUUUAUAAACAUAUAUUAUUAUGUUUCCCUUUUCCCAGUCACUGGGGAAUUUUGCUCUUCUCUUAUAGUGGGAGGGAUUUUGUUCCCCCAGCCCUCACCUAGAAUUUCAAGGUCUUGAGAGACUGCCGCAUUAAAGUGUUAAUGCCCACGUCAGCACUACAG
This is a long non-coding RNA of Gallus gallus (chicken), 1590 nucleotides long. The record is from Ensembl. NCBI's taxonomy places the organism in Eukaryota, Metazoa, Chordata, Aves, Galliformes, Phasianidae.